UACGAAGGUGGCAAGCGUUGUUCGGAUUCACUGGGCGUACAGGGUGUGUAGGCGGUUUGGUAAGCCUUCUGUUAAAGCUUCGGGCCCAACCCGGAAAGCGCAGAGGGUACUGCCAGGCUAGAGGGUGGGAGAGGAGCGCGGAAUUCCCGGUGUAGCGGUGAAAUGCGUAGAUACUGGGAGGAACACCAGUGGCGAAGGCGGCUACCUGGACCGGUUCUGACGCUGAUGCGCGAAAGCGUGGGGAGCAAACAGG
RNAcentral lists this ribosomal RNA (253 nucleotides) under uncultured bacterium. RNAcentral's name for it is "partial 16S ribosomal RNA". It matches the Rfam family "Bacterial small subunit ribosomal RNA", at positions 524 to 776 of the family's 1533-position model. The record is from RNAcentral.